GUCUUUUUGAUUUUAAUUUAAGGUCAAAUCUGCCCACUGAUUUAUAUUAAAGGGCUGCAGUAUAUUGACUGUACAAAGGUAGCAUAAUAAAUAGUCUUUUAAUUGAAGACUUGUAUGAAAGAUUUGAUGAGAUAUAAACUGUCUCUUUUUUAUAAUUAGAAUUUAAUUUUUUAGUAAAAAAGCUAAAAUUAAUUUAAAAGACGAGAAGACCCUAUAGAGUUUUAUAAUUAAUUUAUUUAUAUAUUUAUAUGUAUAUUUUAAAAUUUAAUUAAUUUGAUUAUUUUGUUGGGGUGAUAGAAAAAUAAAUUUAACUUUUUUUAUAAUAUUACAUUAAUUAAUGAAUAUAAUGAUCCAUAAAUUAUGAUUAAAAGAAAAAAUUACCUUAGGGAUAACAGCGUAAUUUUUUUUUUUAGUUCUUAUAGGAAAAAAAGUUUGCGACCUCGAUGUUGGAUUAAGAUAAAAUUUAAAUGCAGAAGUUUAAAAUUUUUGAUCUGUUCGAUCAUUAAAAUCUUACA
Molecule: ribosomal RNA, 515 nt
Filed under: Parnara monasi
Lineage: Eukaryota; Metazoa; Arthropoda; Insecta; Lepidoptera; Hesperiidae
Description: partial 16S ribosomal RNA
Rfam family: Bacterial large subunit ribosomal RNA (bases 388-515)
Source: RNAcentral